GGCACCAUCGUCUAAUUGGCCUAGGACGCAGGACUCUCAAUCCUGAAAUGGAGGUUCGAUAUCCUCCUGGUGUCA
RNAcentral lists this transfer RNA (75 nucleotides) under Caudoviricetes sp. RNAcentral describes it as "tRNA-Glu". It matches the Rfam family "tRNA". Rfam says of the family: Transfer RNA (tRNA) molecules are approximately 80 nucleotides in length. Their secondary structure includes four short double-helical elements and three loops (D, anti-codon, and T loops). The record is from RNAcentral. Lineage: Duplodnaviria; Heunggongvirae; Uroviricota; Caudoviricetes.